RNAcentral lists this ribosomal RNA (273 nucleotides) under uncultured bacterium. RNAcentral's name for it is "partial 16S ribosomal RNA". It matches the Rfam family "Bacterial small subunit ribosomal RNA", at positions 524 to 796 of the family's 1533-position model. The record is from RNAcentral.
UACGAAGGGGGCUAGCGUUGCUCGGAAUUACUGGGCGUAAAGGGAGCGUAGGCGGACAUUUAAGUCAGAGGUGAAAUCCCGGAGCUUAACUUCGGAACUGCCUUUGAUACUGGAUGUCUUGAGUGUGAGAGAGGUAUGUGGAACUCCGAGUGUAGAGGUGAAAUUCGUAGAUAUUCGGAAGAACACCAGUGGCGAAGGCGACAUACUGGCUCAUUACUGACGCUGAGGCUCGAAAGCGUGGGGAGCAAACAGGAUUAGAUACCCCCGUAGUCC